Long non-coding RNA from Anneissia japonica, 533 nucleotides. RefSeq lists it as uncharacterized. The transcript is spliced from 2 exons. The record is from RefSeq and is a predicted model, not a curated record. NCBI's taxonomy places the organism in Eukaryota, Metazoa, Echinodermata, Crinoidea, Comatulida, Comatulidae.
UUGAUUUGCUGAGGGGUUUGAUUGUUAAGCUGCCUUACAUAAAUAUAGUAAGAAAUGGAUUAUUCUGAUAUACAUGCUCAUUAUAAUGACGGAUGCAGAUGGAAAAAAUCUCGUAACGACAAAAAAGUGAUCUUUCUUAUUUGUUUAUGUAAUGCUAAAAAUGAUAAUGACUUUGAAAUACAUACUAGAACAAGAUGUUACUGGCGUAGGUUUGAUGGUGAAAACAAAUACAUUCUGCGAAGGUUUUGCUAUUGCGGAGAGUACAUCAGAAAAGUAGGUCCGACACCUCCAAUUAAUUAAGAUUUGAUGAGAUCGUGGAAGAGGAAGAUUGCAUGCAUCCUAUUUGAAAGCUAUACAGUCCAGGCACAAAUUCCACCUUCAUGUCAAGACACAAAUUUUACCUUCCUGUAGAGGAGAAUUAUGAAACUAAAUUUUACUCGCACCCUCCUUGUAUUACACUGCUAACUACUCGCCUACUUUGCACCUCAUCAAUAUAUGUUUAGCCAACAAGCUCCACCACUGCACCAAAAAAA